Drosophila miranda is the source of this 594-nucleotide long non-coding RNA. RefSeq lists it as uncharacterized. Lineage: Eukaryota; Metazoa; Arthropoda; Insecta; Diptera; Drosophilidae. The record is from RefSeq and is a predicted model, not a curated record. The transcript has 4 exons.
UUGGUGGUCACACUAAUCUGUGUUUCUCGAAACUUCUUUAGCGUCUGCUUAUUGGGGAAAUAAAAAGUGAAAAAAGUUUAUAUUCGCGAGUGAAUUCGUUGGCAUUAUUUUGUGUAUGGGCACUUCCAUUCUGGCCAUACAAAAUGUUAUAAAAAGGAAUGAAAAAUUUCUCUCCGAUGAAUGUACAAUUUGGAAAGCUUCAGAAUAGAAUCCUUCGCGGUUGGAGCCCCUUUGGUCCACACCACUGUGGAUAAUUUACGGGGCAUACUUUUAUGGAACCCAGAACAAUUGCCCGACAUUUUCUGUCAACCCUCGUGACAAAAAGGAAAAAAAAACAAGACAGAGAUGCAAAAAGAAUUUGACGAGUGCUCGUGCUCGGCUCAGCUCAACCUCAAAUUUGGCUCGGAAAAAAUUGGCCAAAAAAUUGCGAACAGCAAAAAUAUGUGAAAGCUGGAGAACCUUAAAACGAAAACGAAACGUUAUGGCUGAAAACGUAAUCCGCAAAAGUAAAUGAAAAACGGAGCCUGCCUGAUGAAAUAUGUUUUGAUCAAAUAUUUUUUACUUUAAUGUGAGUAAAAAUUCUUCCAUUUUAAU